GUGAGGAAUAUUGCGCAAUGGAGGCAACUCUGACGCAGCCAUGCCGCGUGCAGGAAGAAGGCGCUACGCGUUGUAAACUGCUUUUAACCGGGAAGAAACCCCAGGACGUGUCCUGGGUUGACGGUACCGGAGGAAUAAGCACCGGCUAACUUCGUGCCAGCAGCCGCGGUAAUACGAAGGGUGCAAGCGUUAUCCGGAUUCAUUGGGUUUAAAGGGUGCGUAGGAGGAGCGUUAAGUCAGUGGUGAAAUCCUGCAGCUUAACUGUAGACUUGCCAUUGAUACUGGCGCUCUUGAGUGCGCUUGAAGUGGGCGGAAUGUGCCGUGUAGCGGUGAAAUGCUUAGAUAUGGCACAGAACACCAAUUGCGAAGGCAGCUCACUAAGGCGAUACUGACGCUGAGGCACGAAAGCGUGGGGAUCGAACAGGAUUAGAAACCCAUGUAGUCC
Molecule: ribosomal RNA, 445 nt
Filed under: uncultured bacterium
Lineage: Bacteria
Description: bacterial SSU rRNA
Rfam family: Bacterial small subunit ribosomal RNA
Source: RNAcentral